CGUAGGUGGCAAGCGUUGUCCGGAAUUAUUGGGCGUAAAGCGCGCGCAGGCGGUCCUUUAAGUCUGAUGUGAAAGCCCACGGCUCAACCGUGGAGGGUCAUUGGAAACUGGGGGACUUGAGUGCAGAAGAGGAGAGUGGAAUUCCACGUGUAGCGGUGAAAUGCGUAGAGAUGUGGAGGAACACCAGUGGCGAAGGCGACUCUCUGGUCUGUAACUGACGCUGAGGCGCGAAAGCGUGGGAGCAAACAGGAUU
This 253-nucleotide ribosomal RNA is filed under the name uncultured bacterium. Its description in RNAcentral is "partial 16S ribosomal RNA". It matches the Rfam family "Bacterial small subunit ribosomal RNA", at positions 526 to 779 of the family's 1533-position model. The record is from RNAcentral.